This 422-nucleotide unclassified non-coding RNA is filed under the name soil metagenome. Its description in RNAcentral is "partial contains 5.8S ribosomal RNA, internal transcribed spacer 2, and large subunit ribosomal RNA". The stretch from base 1 to 120 matches the Rfam family "5.8S ribosomal RNA", at positions 35 to 154 of the family's 154-position model. The record is from RNAcentral.
GAUGAAGAACGCAGCGAAAUGCGAUAAGUAAUGUGAAUUGCAGAAUUCAGUGAAUCAUCGAAUCUUUGAACGCACCUUGCGCUCCCUGGUAUUCCGGGGAGCACGCCUGUUCGAGUGUCGCGAAAUUCUUCAAGCCUUGGAUGGAUUUUUUUUGUCUGUCCUUGGGCUUGGGUGUUGGGCUCUGCCGUGUCCUUCAUUGGGACGGCUGGCCUUAAAAGCAUUAGCCGAUCCUCGUGUGGUACUGGUUCUACUCAGCGUGAUAACAAUCUGAUCGUUGAGGACAUCUUCUGGAUGGCCAGUCAUCAUUUGGGUUGCUUCUAAACCGGUUUCGCAGAUUGCUCAAUCUGUGUGCCACUUUUCAGCUUUGACCUCGAAUCUGGUGGGACUACCCGCUGAACUUAAGCAUAUCAAUAAGCGGAGGA